RNAcentral lists this ribosomal RNA (406 nucleotides) under uncultured bacterium. RNAcentral's name for it is "partial 16S ribosomal RNA". It matches the Rfam family "Bacterial small subunit ribosomal RNA", at positions 30 to 526 of the family's 1533-position model. The record is from RNAcentral.
AUUGAACGCUGGCGGCAGGCCUAACACAUGCAAGUCGAACGAGUGGCGGACGGGUGAGUAAUGUCUGGGAAACUGCCCGAUGGAGGGGGAUAACUACUGGAAACGGUAGCUAAUACCGCAUACCAUCGGAUGUGCCCAGAUGGGAUUAGCUUGUAGGUGAGGUAACGGCUCACCUAGGCGACGAUCACUAGCUGGUCUGAGAGGAUGACCAGCCACACUGGAACUGAGACACGGUCCAGACUCAGACAGUAGGCAGCAGUGGGGAAAAUUGGACAAUGGGCGCAAGCCUGAUGCAGCCAUGCCGCGUGUAUGAAGAAGGCAUUCGGGUUGUAAAGGACUUUCAGCUGGGAAGCGGUACCCGAAGAAGAAGCACCGGCUAACUCCGUGCCAGCAGCCGCGGUAAUUC